RNAcentral lists this non-coding RNA (28 nucleotides) under Mus musculus (house mouse). The record is from RNAcentral. Lineage: Eukaryota; Metazoa; Chordata; Mammalia; Rodentia; Muridae.
UCCUUUAAGAACUAAUCCUGCUCAAGAG